GUAUUAGAUUAAAGGCACAAAGGCCAAUAAAGACAUUCUGUUACAUUCUUGUGGGGUAUAUAAAAUCGUAGACUAGAACACAAGGAAAGCUGGCUUUCGCACAACAGAUCCUCAAUCCGAGUUGCCUCGAGAAUUGUUCAGGUCUACAAAAAGUGCACAGGUGGUAAAAAUGGUGCCAGGCGUGCACAUGCUCCGAAAAGCCAGCAACAACCCAACCAAAUUUAUUCAAUAAUGAUCCUUCCGCAGGUUCACCUACGGAAA
Molecule: unclassified non-coding RNA, 261 nt
Filed under: uncultured fungus
Lineage: Eukaryota; Fungi
Description: sequence contains ITS1
Source: RNAcentral